This 430-nucleotide ribosomal RNA is filed under the name Turritopsis dohrnii. RNAcentral describes it as "partial 16S ribosomal RNA". It matches the Rfam family "Bacterial large subunit ribosomal RNA", at positions 1933 to 2513 of the family's 2925-position model. Lineage: Eukaryota; Metazoa; Cnidaria; Hydrozoa; Anthoathecata; Oceaniidae. The record is from RNAcentral.
GCGGUAACCUGACCGUGGUAAUGUAGCAUAAUCAAUCGCCAUUUAAUUGAUGGAUAGUAUGAAUGGUUAAACGAAUAUUACACUGUCUCAAGUAAAAAUUUUAUGAAAUUAAGAUAAUAGUUAAGACGCUAUUUCAAACUGUAAGACGAAAAGACCCUAUAGAGCUUAACUAUAAACUUUUUUGAUAAAGAUCAUCAAAAAAUGAUUAUAAAAGAAAGUUAGGUAGUUUAGUUGGGGCGACUGUCUUCUAAAAAGAACGAAGACUAGCAAAGUUAAUAAAAAUAACUUAUUGUUUAAUAAAUUUAUUUAACAAUUACAAAAGUAGGCUAUAAUGACCCAUUGAAUUUAAGAAAGUAAAUCAAUGAUUAAAAAAUAAAAGCUACCUUAGGGAUAACAGGAUAAUUUUGUCUUAGAGAUCAUAUCGAAGACA